RNAcentral lists this ribosomal RNA (253 nucleotides) under uncultured bacterium. RNAcentral describes it as "partial 16S ribosomal RNA". It matches the Rfam family "Bacterial small subunit ribosomal RNA", at positions 524 to 776 of the family's 1533-position model. The record is from RNAcentral.
UACGUAGGGGGCAAGCGUUGUCCGGAUUUAUUGGGCGUAAAGAGCGUGUAGGCGGCCAGGUAGGUCAGCUGUGAAAACUCGAGGCUCAACCUCGAGCUGUCGGCUGAAACCAUCUGGCUAGAGUCCGGAAGAGGAGAAUGGAAUUCCCGGUGUAGCGGUGAAAUGCGCAGAUAUCGGGAAGAACACCCGUGGCGAAGGCGGUGCUCUGGGACGGUACUGACGCUGAGACGCGAAAGCGUGGGGAGCGAACAGG